Molecule: ribosomal RNA, 253 nt
Filed under: uncultured bacterium
Lineage: Bacteria
Description: partial 16S ribosomal RNA
Rfam family: Bacterial small subunit ribosomal RNA
Source: RNAcentral
UACGGGGGGGGUAAGCGUUGUUCGGAAUUACUGGGCGUAAAGGGCUCGUAGGCGGCCAACUAAGUCAGACGUGAAAGCCCCGGGCUCAACCUGGGAACAGCGCUUGAGACUGGGCGGCUUGAGUUCGGGAGAGGUGAGUGGAAUUCCUGGUGUAGCGGUGGAAUGCGCAGAUAUCAGGAGGAACACCAAUAGCGAAGGCAGCUCGCUGGGACGGUACUGACGCUAAGGCGCGAAAGCGUGGGGAGCGAACAGG